AAAAACUCAUUUUAUGAUGCCCUAAAGCCUUGCUAUAAAAAGCUUAUUUUCUUCAUUUUCUAGGCAGAGACUAGACACCAAAAAAUAGAAACGGCUAAAAAUCUUUUCUGAUAAAACUAUCUAGUUUUGAGCUUUAUUCCCCUUUAGAUAAAAAGUUUGAAGUGGCUUUUCUGGGGAUUUUUCUGGUUUUCUAAGCUGAAACAUGGCUGGUUAUUGAGGCUGUUGGUUGAUUAUCAUUGCUGUUUCUUUGCUGCUGAGCUCCCUUCUUUCUUGGUUGCCAUAAGCUGAUCUCAGAUACAUUUUCACUGAUUUUUUUUGCUUUGUUAUAUCCAAGUACUCUUUUAAAUCUUUGGAGUGUGGGUUGAAUAUGAAGAUGCAUGUGUUAAGGCUGUUGUAAUGAGUUAUCAAUUUUAUUUUAGUAAUUGGCAUCUAAGUUCUAUCAAUUUGUAUAUAUUCUUUUCUGUCAGACCUGGUUCUGCUUUGUACAUCAAUAGAUGUAGGCUUGUUUCUUGAGCAUGAAGUUGUCAUUGUAACAUUUGAAUUUCUAGGAUAUAACUUCUGUUUGUGUUAAAAAUAUCGUAAAAAGGAAAAAAAUAUUGAAUGUUUGAACCAAGUAGAUAUACAUUGUGAUUGGGGAGUUUGCCUAUGUAAUUUUUGUUCUGAAAUUAUGUUAGGGACAUUAGAACCUUUUGUAAUGAGUUUGUAAAUGAUGUUUGAUAUAUGGCUAUCACUGUUUCAUCUAGAUUUUCAAAUAAGGGUC
This 760-nucleotide long non-coding RNA is filed under the name Nicotiana benthamiana. RNAcentral describes it as "long non-coding RNA (NBEN_LNC040445)". Lineage: Eukaryota; Viridiplantae; Streptophyta; Magnoliopsida; Solanales; Solanaceae. The record is from RNAcentral.